ACCGCUUCUCGGCCUUUUGGCUAAGAUCAAGUGUAGUAUCUUCUUAUCAGUUUAAUAAUAUACCCAAAUAUAAUGCCUUAGGGUCCUAUAAACAUUUAGCAAUGUUUUUCCCUGGAGACAUUUCUCAGUCUUUUCUUCUUUGUUCUGUUCUUGUGAACAGCUUAUACAGUACAUGGGAAGUCUUC
Molecule: small nuclear RNA, 185 nt
Organism: Myotis myotis
Lineage: Eukaryota; Metazoa; Chordata; Mammalia; Chiroptera; Vespertilionidae
Product: U2 spliceosomal RNA
Exons: 1
Source: RefSeq, a predicted model, not a curated record